CUACGGGCGGCAGCAGUGGGGAAUAUUGGACAAUGGGGGAAACCCUGAUCCAGCAAUGCCGCGUGUGUGAAGAAGGCCUGCGGGUUGUAAAGCACUUUCGGUUGGGAGGACUGCUUCUAGCACUAAUAUUGUUGGAAGUUGACGUUACCUUCAGAAGAAGCACCGGCUAACUCCGUGCCAGCAGCCGCGGUAAUACGGAGGGUGCAAGCGUUAAUCGGAAUUACUGGGCGUAAAGCGCGCGUAGGCGGCUAGAUCAGUCGGGUGUGAAAGCCCCGGGCUUAACCUGGGAACUGCAUCCGAUAGUGUCUAGCUUGAGUACAGGAGAGGAGAGUGGAAUUCCACAUGUAGCGGUGAAAUGCGUAGAUAUGUGGAGGAACACCAAUGGCGAAGGCAGCUCUCUGGCCUGAUACUGACGCUGAGGUGUGAAAGCGUGGGGAGCAAACAGGAUUAGAUACCCGUGUAGUC
Molecule: ribosomal RNA, 465 nt
Filed under: uncultured bacterium
Lineage: Bacteria
Description: partial 16S ribosomal RNA
Rfam family: Bacterial small subunit ribosomal RNA
Source: RNAcentral